UAAAAAUAGAAAAAAAUUCAAUAACACUGUAUAAUUAGAAUUGAAACUCAAAAAUAAAAUCAAACAUCUGGAUAGAACAAAAGAGCACUAGACAACUAUAACUGAAAAUCUGGAAAGAGCCGAACAACACUUGAAAAAUAAAACCAAAAUAUAAAAGGACAAAGAACAAAAGAGCACUCGACAACUAUAACCGACAAUCUGGAAGGAAACUAACAGGAAGCGACAAUUAGAACUUAAAAUCUGUAAGGAACAUAACAACAC
This 261-nucleotide long non-coding RNA is filed under the name Mytilus galloprovincialis (Mediterranean mussel). Lineage: Eukaryota; Metazoa; Mollusca; Bivalvia; Mytilida; Mytilidae. The record is from RNAcentral.